ACAAAUCUUGGAACUUGCUUGCUUCUUUUCCACCCGGCAUAAAGAAUCCACUGAGUAAUUUUGUGAAAAAGAAGCAAGCAAGUUCCAAGAUUUGUUGCGAGGUAACAUUAGUGUAAACAAUUACAUCCGAAAAAAUAGAAAAUCAUCUUCUAGUAAUACUUGAAAAGGAAGCUCCUGUUUUCUUCUUUUCCCGAGGACAGGUAGGCUUCAAAGCUGUACAUCGUGUGUGUGCGCUUUGCAUAUUCCAUCAAACAAUCGUAUAUAUCUCACUUCACUUCCAUCUUUGCAUAAAGAAUCUGCUCUCAAUGUGGCAAUGGAGUACAAGUCCUGCCUUNNNNNCCGUGUGUGGUAAAGCCUUGUAGCCAUAUUCACAUUGUUGAAACUAUUCCACUCCAUAACUUUUUUCUCACAAUCAGAACUUGUUCUUCACCCGAAGAGAGAGCAUCACUCUUUGGUUCAACUUCUGACAUCCAGCGAGGCAGUGACAAAUUUGCGAAUAUAGUUUACAAUUGAGGGUUUGUCCCUUAUGAUGACAAACCCUUCAGGCCUUAGUAUCCGGUCCAUUUCAAUUAGUAGAUACUCUAAACCACACCCAUGCUCCUGAAUCUUGGUAAAUAUUUGCCAGGCAUGAAGAAGAUCAUAAGAGCGUGGAUAUGUAGAAAAUGCUUCACACCAGUCAUGAACUGUUCCAAUUAAGCCUCGGUCAUAAAUAAUCUUUAAUCUAGCAGACUGGUUGACUGGAGAAACAUUCAUCACCCAUACGUCUGUAUCUUUGAGAGAAGCACCAAAACCCCCCAAGUUCGAAUUCAUAUCCAUGACAUUUCUGAAGUAACUCUUCCGUACAACAGAUUUCAUCUGCUUCCAGUACUCACUGACUCUAAAUUGCCAUAUCCUAGUAUCUUCAUGGAAUUCUUCAGCACUGACACCAAUUUCUUCCAGACGUGGAGGUGCCUCAGUAAGCCUCUGAGGCCAGGGAAGUAGUCCACUUCCUCUUACCUUGUGCAUCUUUGAUGAGUAUGGAGAGAUGCAUGCCUUCAUGUGUAUGUUCCAAGUUGCAUCAGGGUCAUCAUCAGUACUGCACAAAAGGGGUAAAGUUCCAGGAUCUCUUUUCAAGAAACAGCUAUUACUUGUGGGCUUUGCCCAGAUAACAGUCUGGUCUUUCCUCACAACAACUCUCCAACACAUUCUUCUCAAAAGAUCAUGCAUAGCAUUCCAGAUCCUUCGAUUUUCUGGAUCAUGCGCAUAUGCUUCAGGAGAAGAGUAUGCAAAAUAUCCUCCAGGUCUCAGUAAUCUGUCAAGUUCUAAUAAAAGAAUUCCGUCUCUUUGGAGCCAGUCAAUCCGACAUCUUGAACAAUGAGCCAGUUCA
This 1366-nucleotide unclassified non-coding RNA is filed under the name Hevea brasiliensis (rubber tree). The record is from RNAcentral. Lineage: Eukaryota; Viridiplantae; Streptophyta; Magnoliopsida; Malpighiales; Euphorbiaceae.